Molecule: long non-coding RNA, 2065 nt
Organism: Mus musculus (house mouse)
Lineage: Eukaryota; Metazoa; Chordata; Mammalia; Rodentia; Muridae
Product: predicted gene, 53619
Exons: 3
Source: RefSeq, a predicted model, not a curated record
AAUUCCACAGAAGCCUGCUUGGUGAAUUGUUGGGCUUAGAUGAAGCUUUGCUUUAUGCAUGCUUAAGACAUUGCUCCCAAAGAAGGUGCUAAGCAUCUUUAAAAUGCAUGCACCCCAAACCCCUCCAUCUGCCACUCAGGUGCUCCUCUGAAAGCGUGACGCUGGGUCUCCCCAACUCCCUCUUCAUUAUCAUUCAUUAGAGAGGCCGGAAGCAGGCUGGGACAAAGAAGGAUCCAAUCAAGGAGACAUGAAUUCCGUGAACAUCAAUGAAUGUUCCUUCCUCAGUCAGACAAUGUAUUCCGGCACCUGGAGCAAGCCAAUGUGUGAGUGCUCUUUGACAAGCAGACGUCUCUGCCUAAGACCUUUCCUUACCCAGUCGGGAGAUCAUUGGUACAAUUGCAGGCUGCAGUCUGAGGAGAAGGGAUUCUCUGAUAUCCAUCUGUUCCAAAGCCACAGGAAGACUGGAAGCAGCACUUCCCUCUCCUAUGAGUCCUAUGAGUCCUAUGAGCCAGUUUCUCCUGAACAUCUCUGCUGAACACUUCCUAGCUGCUCACCACCCUGAAGUGCCUCUUUUCAGCAGGGGUGGAGGUGACACAGGCGUCACAAGGAUGGUCUUUGUUCAAUGUGAAGACACCUGUUACACUAAAGCGUGUCUGUCCACCCUCCGGCACACACCCAAAGCCACAUUUGUAUUAAAGAUUCUGCAGGACUGACAGUCUGAUCAGAGAUGUGAUUGUGGGAGGUUGGAAUGUUGCAGCUCAAGAAUCAAAUCAUCUUGGGCUAUCUUUACCCACCCACCCGUCGGCCAUUCAAUAUGCACCUUUGUCUGACCUAACAUCCCUUUGAGUGUUGGGUAAAAGUUUUAGAAUGUAUUUACACACCACUAGCUUCUACCAGACUGAAGGCUGUGGAAGACAUCAGAGUUUAUCAGACAGUCUUGUUCACAUUUCUGCAGCCAGCUCACCUGUAGAUCAUUUGAUUCCUUUAUUUAUAACUUCCUUUGCCUCUAUGACUGUAAAAGUUCAUGCAAUUGCCCUCAUGGUGGAACAUGUUAUUCAGGACCAUCUAAAGCAGGUUCCCAGGCCAUGGCCACUUAGAGUAAAUGAAUUCUUACUCCGUCUAGUUGAGAAGCUCUGGGUUGUUCGCUUGUGGGCGAACAUGGCUGUCUUAUGGGAAAACAUCAGCCUUGUCACACCUUGAACCAAAUCCCAGCUCUGUAGUCAUCAGCUCCAUGACCCCAGACUCUCUCUGUGUCACCGCCUUCCAUGGUCAAAGACCAUUGUGAAAUGCACUCGCUUACGGAGACUCUGAGAGUAAUGAUGAAGUUAUGUGAUCCCCAUCACAAAGUUGGCCCAGGACCAGCAGGGCCAGCAUCUCCUAGAAGCUUGUCAGGCAUGCAGAUCGAAGGCCCAUCACAGACCCAGAGAAUAUAGAUGUAAAGAGGAAGAGGCAGAAGGUGGCAAGUUAGCUUUAGCAAGUUCCGUGGGUGAUUCUGAUGCUCAGGAGGAAGUGAGGACCACUGCUCAGGUGAAUGACAAUCUCAGUAACGACACCUGCCACGUCCUGUUAGCAGAAAAGUAUAUACCAUAUGGAUUCACUUUUUCACCCCAAAUAUCAUUCACUUUAUUCAUGUUUGAAGUCUCUUUGGCCUAGGAGCUCCAGUAUGCAGACUUUAAUCAGAAAUAUCCAGAAAGAUGCAUUUGAAGGUUUGCUUGUACCCAUAAAGACCUUGAGGGGAUGGGGAGAGAAAUACUGUAAACCACAGGAAGAGUCUAGCUCUCUGAAGAACUAGCCCUUGGACUAUCUUUCUUUUAGAAAGGACUUCAUUUUAUUGAUAGAAGAAAUAGUUUUGCUUUUGGAAGCACUAGAUAGCACUUUGUUCCCCAGAGACCUGGAAAGCGCACGCACACACACAUACACACACACACACACACACACACACACACACAACCACACACAGACAAACACUCACACACUAAAAAAAAUCACAGUGUGAGUGCUUCUUAGUGCAAAGCACACUACGGGCAUGUUUAUAAAAAUGAAUUACGUUUCACAACAAUUUCUA